Molecule: ribosomal RNA, 2000 nt
Filed under: Staphylococcus epidermidis
Lineage: Bacteria; Bacillati; Bacillota; Bacilli; Caryophanales; Staphylococcaceae
Description: partial 23S ribosomal RNA
Rfam family: Bacterial large subunit ribosomal RNA
Source: RNAcentral
AGUAAAGAUUUUAAGGGCGUACGGUGGAUGCCUUGGCGAUAUCAGCCGAAGAAGGACGCGGUAAGCUGCGAUAAGCUACGGAGAGGUGCAAGCAACCUUUGACCCGUAGAUUUCCGAAUGGGGGAACCCGGCAGUGGUUAUGCACUGUCACCCAUAGCUUAGACUAUGAGGAGGGCACCUGGGGAACUGAAACAUCUAAUUACCCAGAGGAAAAGUAAUCAAACGAGAUUUUCUUAGUAGCGGCGAGCGAACGGGAAAGAGGCCAAACCGGAGCGGGCAACCGCACCGGGGUUGAGGACAGUCAUCAAGUGUAAAUGAGGUAGAAGAAUCGAGUUGGAAAGCUCAGCCGAAGAAGGUGAAAGCCCUGUAAUCGAAACCUUGCAUACAUGGGACUGUAUCCAGAGUACCACGAGACACGUGAAACCUUGUGGGAAGCAGGGGGGACCACCCUCCAAGCCAAAAUACUGAUAUCGACCGAUAGCGCAUAGUACCGUGAGGGAAAGGUGAAAAGAACCCCUGGCGGGGAGUGAAAGAGAACCUGAAACCGUAUGUCUACAAACAGUCGAAGUCUGUAUAUAUAUCAGGACGACGGCGUGCCUAUUGAAGAAUGAACCGACGAGUUACUGUUGCUAGCGAGGUUAAGUGGAAAACAUGGAGCCGCAGCGAAAGCGAGUCUGAACAGGGCGUUCAGUUAGUAAUAGUAGACCCGAAACCGUAGUGAUCUAUCCAUGGCCAGGUUGAAGCACAGGUAAAAUUGUGUGGAGGACCGAACUCGUGAGCGUUGAAAAGCUUUGGGAUGAGUUGUGGAUAGGGGUGAAAUGCCAAUCGAACACGGAGAUAGCUGGUUCUCCCCGAAAUAGCUUUAGGGCUAGCCUCGAGGUUGAGAGUAUAGGCGGUAGAGCACUGAUCGGGCUAGGGGCCAUACCGGUUACCGAACCUAGUCAAACUACGAAUGGCUAUACUUAUACUCGGGAGUCAGACAGUGAAUGAUAAGGUCCAUUGUCAAGAGGGAAACAGCCCAGAACACCGACUAAGGUCCCAAAUGUUACACUAAGUGGCGAAGGAUGUGGAGUUUCCAAAACAACCAGGAUGUUGGCUUAGAAGCAGCCACCAUUUAAAGAGUGCGUAAUAGCUCACUGGUCGAGAGACUCUGCGCCGAAGAUGUCCGGGGCUAAAGUGUAAAACCGAAGUCGUGUCAUAUGCAGCAAUGUAUAUGGGUAGGGGAGCGUUCUCAUCGGGCUGAAGCAGUACCGUAAGGAGUUGUGGACUGAUGAGAAGUGAGAAUGUCGGUAUGAGUAGCGAAAAGAAUGGUGAGAAUCCAUUCCACCGAAAGCCUAAGGGUUCCUGAGCAACGAUCGUCGUCUCAGGGUAAGUCGGGACCUAAGCCGAGGCGGAAAAGCGUAGGCGAUGGACAACAGGUUGAAAUUCCUGUACCGGUGUGAAUCGUUUGAUCGAUGGAGUGACACAGUAAGGUAGGUCAGCACGCGAUUGGAAGUGCGUGUUUAAGCAGGUAGGUUGAGCUAUAGGCAAAUCCGUAGCUCUAAAAGCUGAGAUGUGAUGACGAGUUACUAGCGAUAGUAACGAAGUGAUUGAUCCUACACUGUCGAGAAAAGCUUCUAGGUAGAGACACAUCGCCCGUACCAAAACCGACACAGGUAGGCGGGGAGAGAAUCCUAAGGUGCGCGGGAAAACCCUCGUUAAGGAACUCGGCAAAAUGCCUCCGUAACUUCGGGAAAAGGAGGACUCAUGUAGUGUGAAGAGCAGCAACGCUUGGAGCAUGAAUGAGUGGCACAAGAGAGGCGCAAGCGACUGUUUACCACAAACACAGGUGCCUGCUAAAGCGAAAGCUGACGUAUAGGUGCUGACACCUGCCCGGUGCUGGAAGGUUAAGAGGAGGGGUUAGACUUCGGGUCGAAGCUCUGAAUUGAAGCCCCAGUAAACGGCGGCCGUAACUAUAACGGUCCUAAGGUAGCGAAAUUCCUUGUCGGGUAAGUUCCGAC